AUAUCUCUCCGUACGGGAAGGAUGAGAAGCUUCGACUAAGGUUCGAUUCGAGCGCAGCGAGAACGCGUUGCCGCAGGCAACGACCCGAAGGGCGAAGCGCGCAGCGCUGAGUCAUCCUUCCCCCA
Molecule: small RNA, 125 nt
Filed under: Salmonella enterica
Lineage: Bacteria; Pseudomonadati; Pseudomonadota; Gammaproteobacteria; Enterobacterales; Enterobacteriaceae
Also listed under: 1 other name
Description: partial RtT sRNA
Rfam family: RtT RNA
About the family: This family represents a bacterial cis-regulatory element known as RtT RNA. The exact function of RtT is unknown although it is thought that it may be involved in changing the cellular response in relation to amino acid starvation.
Source: RNAcentral